RNAcentral lists this ribosomal RNA (468 nucleotides) under uncultured bacterium. RNAcentral describes it as "partial 16S ribosomal RNA". It matches the Rfam family "Bacterial small subunit ribosomal RNA", at positions 28 to 507 of the family's 1533-position model. The record is from RNAcentral.
GACGAACGCUGGCGGCGUGCUUAACACAUGCAAGUCGAACGGAAAGGCCCUGCUUUUGUGGGGUGCUCGAGUGGCGAACGGGUGAGUAACCCGUGAGUAACCUGCCCUUGACUUUGGGAUAACUUCAGGAAACUGGGGCUAAUACCGGCUAGGAGCUCCUGCUGCAUGGGGGGGGUUGGAAAGUUUCGGCGGUUGGGGAUGGACUCGCGGCUUAUCAGCUUGUUGGUGGGGUAGUGGCUUACCAAGGCUUUGACGGGUAGCCGGCCUGAGAGGGUGACCGGCCACAUUGGGACUGAGAUACGGCCCAGACUCCUACGGGAGGCAGCAGUGGGGAAUAUUGCACAAUGGGCGGAAGCCUGAUGCAGCAACGCCGCGUGCGGGAUGACGGCCUUCGGGUUGUAAACCGCUUUCGCCUGUGACGAAGCGUGAGUGACGGUAAUGGGUAAAGAAGCACCGGCUAACUACGUG